AACGAACGCUGGCGGCAGGCUUAACACAUGCAAGUCGAACGGUUGUAGCAAUACAGCAGUGGCAGACGGGUGAGUAACACGUGGGAACCUUCCUAGGGGUACGGAACAACUCAGGGAAACUUGAGCUAAUACCGUAUACGUCCGUGAGGAGAAAGAUUUAUCGCCCUUAGACGGGCCCGCGUAGGAUUAGGUAGUUGGUGGGGUAAUGGCCUACCAAGCCUACGAUCCUUAGCUGAUCUGAGAGGAUGAUCAGCCACACUGGGAUUGAGACACGGCCCAGACUCCUACGGGAGGCAGCAGUGGGGAAGUCUUGGACAAUGGGCGCAAGCCUGAUCCAGCCAUGCCGCGUGAGUGAAGAAGGCCUU
RNAcentral lists this ribosomal RNA (365 nucleotides) under uncultured bacterium. RNAcentral's name for it is "bacterial SSU rRNA". It matches the Rfam family "Bacterial small subunit ribosomal RNA", at positions 29 to 418 of the family's 1533-position model. The record is from RNAcentral.